AGGGCUGUAGUUAAAUAUAACAGUUGAUUUGCAUUCAAAAAGUAUUGGUUUCCCAAUCUGCCUUA
This 65-nucleotide transfer RNA is filed under the name Dacus longicornis. Its description in RNAcentral is "tRNA-Ala". It matches the Rfam family "tRNA". Rfam says of the family: Transfer RNA (tRNA) molecules are approximately 80 nucleotides in length. Their secondary structure includes four short double-helical elements and three loops (D, anti-codon, and T loops). RNAcentral also lists the same sequence under 1 other name. Lineage: Eukaryota; Metazoa; Arthropoda; Insecta; Diptera; Tephritidae. The record is from RNAcentral.